AGAGUUUGAUCCUGGCUCAGGAUGAACGCUGGCGGCGUGCCUAAUACAUGCAAGUCGAGCGAACGGACGAGAAGCUUGCUUCUCUGAUGUUAGCGGCGGACGGGUGAGUAACACGUGGAUAACCUACCUAUAAGACUGGGAUAACUUCGGGAAACCGGAGCUAAUACCGGAUAAUAUUUUGAACCGCAUGGUUCAAAAGUGAAAGACGGUCUUGCUGUCACUUAUAGAUGGAUCCGCGCUGCAUUAGCUAGUUGGUAAGGUAACGGCUUACCAAGGCAACGAUGCAUAGCCGACCUGAGAGGGUGAUCGGCCACACUGGAACUGAGACACGGUCCAGACUCCUACGGGAGGCAGCAGUAGGGAAUCUUCCGCAAUGGGCGAAAGCCUGACGGAGCAACGCCGCGUGAGUGAUGAAGGUCUUCGGAUCGUAAAACUCUGUUAUUAGGGAAGAACAUAUGUGUAAGUAACUGUGCACAUCUUGACGGUACCUAAUCAGAAAGCCACGGCUAACUACGUGCCAGCAGCCGCGGUAAUACGUAGGUGGCAAGCGUUAUCCGGAAUUAUUGGGCGUAAAGCGCGCGUAGGCGGUUUUUUAAGUCUGAUGUGAAAGCCCACGGCUCAACCGUGGAGGGUCAUUGGAAACUGGAAAACUUGAGUGCAGAAGAGGAAAGUGGAAUUCCAUGUGUAGCGGUGAAAUGCGCAGAGAUAUGGAGGAACACCAGUGGCGAAGGCGACUUUCUGGUCUGUAACUGACGCUGAUGUGCGAAAGCGUGGGGAUCAAACAGGAUUAGAUACCCUGGUAGUCCACGCCGUAAACGAUGAGUGCUAAGUGUUAGGGGGUUUCCGCCCCUUAGUGCUGCAGCUAACGCAUUAAGCACUCCGCCUGGGGAGUACGACCGCAAGGUUGAAACUCAAAGGAAUUGACGGGGACCCGCACAAGCGGUGGAGCAUGUGGUUUAAUUCGAAGCAACGCGAAGAACCUUACCAAAUCUUGACAUCCUUUGACAACUCUAGAGAUAGAGCCUUCCCCUUCGGGGGACAAAGUGACAGGUGGUGCAUGGUUGUCGUCAGCUCGUGUCGUGAGAUGUUGGGUUAAGUCCCGCAACGAGCGCAACCCUUAAGCUUAGUUGCCAUCAUUAAGUUGGGCACUCUAAGUUGACUGCCGGUGACAAACCGGAGGAAGGUGGGGAUGACGUCAAAUCAUCAUGCCCCUUAUGAUUUGGGCUACACACGUGCUACAAUGGACAAUACAAAGGGCAGCGAAACCGCGAGGUCAAGCAAAUCCCAUAAAGUUGUUCUCAGUUCGGAUUGUAGUCUGCAACUCGACUACAUGAAGCUGGAAUCGCUAGUAAUCGUAGAUCA
Molecule: ribosomal RNA, 1362 nt
Filed under: Staphylococcus aureus
Lineage: Bacteria; Bacillati; Bacillota; Bacilli; Caryophanales; Staphylococcaceae
Also listed under: 3 other names
Description: bacterial SSU rRNA
Rfam family: Bacterial small subunit ribosomal RNA
Source: RNAcentral